UGCACUCAUUACCUUCAUCAUGCCUA
Molecule: non-coding RNA, 26 nt
Filed under: Mus musculus (house mouse)
Lineage: Eukaryota; Metazoa; Chordata; Mammalia; Rodentia; Muridae
Source: RNAcentral